AUUGAACGCUGGCGGCAGGCUUAACACAUGCAAGUCGAGCGGUAACAGAGAGAAGCUUGCUUCUCUGCUGACGAGCGGCGGACGGGUGAGUAAUGCCUAGGAAUCUGCCUAGUAGUGGGGGAUAACUUGCCGAAAGGUAAGCUAAUACCGCAUACGUCCUACGGGAGAAAGGAGGGGACCUUCGGGCCUUUCGCUAUUAGAUGAGCCUAGGUCGGAUUAGUUAGUUGGUGAGGUAAUGGCUCACCCAGACCGCGAUCCGUAACUGGUCUGAGAGGAUGAUCAGUCAAAAUGGAACUGAGAGACGGUCCAGACUCCUACGGGAGGCAGCAGUGGGGAAUAUUGGACAAUGGGGGGAACCCUGAUCCAGCCAUGCCGCGUGUGUGAAGAAGGUCUUAGGAUUGUAAAGCACUUUAAGUUGGGAGGAAGAGCAGUUAACUAAUAUUUGACUGUUUUGACGUUACCGACAGAAUAAGCACCGGCUAACUUCGUGCCAGCAGCCGCCGUAA
Molecule: ribosomal RNA, 506 nt
Filed under: uncultured bacterium
Lineage: Bacteria
Description: partial 16S ribosomal RNA
Rfam family: Bacterial small subunit ribosomal RNA
Source: RNAcentral